This is a long non-coding RNA of Salvia splendens (bonfire salvia), 535 nucleotides long. RefSeq lists it as uncharacterized. The record is from RefSeq and is a predicted model, not a curated record. The transcript has 3 exons. Lineage: Eukaryota; Viridiplantae; Streptophyta; Magnoliopsida; Lamiales; Lamiaceae.
AAUACUCACUCUCUCUCUCUCCAACCGCAUCCCUCUUCAACCCAAAAUCCUCAAUCGUCUCCCCUCAUUCCCAACCAUUCCUAAACCCUAGCUUCGAUUUCUGCCGUCAAAUCCACGUUCCGCCGCCGUUUCAGAGUUGAAGCCUCAAUCCCUUUGCGCGCGACGGUCUUUGUCCAUUCGCCAAGAAGAACAUCAAUGACGAAAAGAAGCAGACCCUUCAAAAGCCAACCUACCCAGACUGCACGUGAUCAAUCUAUUGCAUUUGCCAUUUGUAUUCAUCGAAAACAUCAAAGCUACCAAGGGUAGACUACGAAGAGAUGUUGGAUGAUGUUGUUCCGAUAGCAAUUGCGCAGCGUUUCCGGCAGAGAAUGACAGAAUAAAAAGAGGAGCCCUCUAAAGUGCAAGCUGAAGUGGGUGAAGGGCCCAGUAGAUCAAAGAAAGGGAACCUCCUCUAUUUUAGGAGGGUCUUAUUGAUUAUUUGGUCGUUCACCAUUUGUGGUAAUUGUAUGGUUGUUAAUUUUUUUUUUUGUGUACA